UACGAAGGGGGCUAGCGUUGCUCGGAAUUACUGGGCGUAAGGCGCACGUAGGCGGCUUUCUAAGUCGGGGGUGAAAUCCUGGAGCUCAACUCCAGAACUGCCUUCGAUACUGGAAAGCUCGAGUCCGGGAGAGGUGAGUGGAACUGCGAGUGUAGAGGUGAAAUUCGUAGAUAUUCGCAAGAACACCAGUGGCGAAGGCGGCUCACUGGUCCGGUUCUGACGCUGAGGCGCGAAAGCGUGGGGAGCAAACAGG
Molecule: ribosomal RNA, 253 nt
Filed under: uncultured bacterium
Lineage: Bacteria
Description: partial 16S ribosomal RNA
Rfam family: Bacterial small subunit ribosomal RNA
Source: RNAcentral